This is a long non-coding RNA of Amyelois transitella, 582 nucleotides long. RefSeq lists it as uncharacterized. The record is from RefSeq and is a predicted model, not a curated record. Lineage: Eukaryota; Metazoa; Arthropoda; Insecta; Lepidoptera; Pyralidae. The transcript has 2 exons.
AAUAAAAGAAAAACAUCGAUCAUUAUUCAUAAAAGUGCAAUAUGGAUUUUAUAAUUCAAUUUAAAAAAUCCUCUUUUUUAAUCUGUUCUUCAAAAGUCGAAAACGCUAUCCGCCAUGUUGGGUACUGACGUGACGUCAUACUUUUAGUAAACAAAUAUCGAAUCGAAAACAUAUUGAUGAUGUCAGGCUCUGUUUAUUUUGAAAUUUUAAAAUUUCUAUCACGUUUUUGGGUUUUUACUCUUUAAUAAUUUAAUAGAAUCAUGGAAGACGGUUUUGUGAAAGCAGACAAUAUAAAUCUACCGAGGAUUAAUACGUUGAUGGUGGCGAAAUUUUUUGCGUCUAAUCCCGAUUUCUGUUCUGCUGAGUUAAGAAAUGUUAAAACAGCGAUGUCCGGAAGGGAAUCAUACGUGUUUCUCAUUUUAAUAUCACUUGGCAGUGGAAUCCACAAUUUUUCUGGUGUUUUUAUACUUGUAUUCUUGCAUUCAGGAACAAGACACCAACAAUAUGUAUUGUAAUUCAUUAUUACAAAAAUCUUUUUACUUUAGUCUUACGUAGAGCCGUAUUGUUUACUAAAAGUAUGAC